This 78-nucleotide transfer RNA is filed under the name Polaromonas sp. P1-6. RNAcentral's name for it is "tRNA-Arg". It matches the Rfam family "tRNA". Rfam says of the family: Transfer RNA (tRNA) molecules are approximately 80 nucleotides in length. Their secondary structure includes four short double-helical elements and three loops (D, anti-codon, and T loops). The record is from RNAcentral. Lineage: Bacteria; Pseudomonadati; Pseudomonadota; Betaproteobacteria; Burkholderiales; Comamonadaceae.
GCCUCUUUAGCUCAGCCCGGAUAGAGCAUCUGACUACGAAUCAGGGGGUCGCACGUUCAAGUCGUGUGAGAGGCACCA